GCUCGUGUGGCGACGGGUGAGUAACACGUGGGUGAUCUGCCCUGCACUUUGGGAUAAGCCUGGGAAACUGGGUCUAAUACCGAAUAGGACUCCGGCCUUCAUGGGUUGGGGUGGAAAGCUUUUGCGGUGUGGGAUGGGCCCGCGGCCUAUCAGCUUGUUGGUGGGGUAAUGGCCUACCAAGGCGACGACGGGUAGCCGGCCUGAGAGGGUGACCGGCCACACUGGGACUGAGAUACGGCCCAGACUCCUACGGGAGGCAGCAGUGGGGAAUAUUGCACAAUGGGCGCAAGCCUGAUGCAGCGACGCCGCGUGAGGGAUGACGGCCUUCGGGUUGUAAACCUCUUUCAGCACAGACGAAGCGCAAGUGACGGUAUGUGCAGAAGAAGGACCGGCCAACUACGUGCCAGCAGCCGCGGUAAUACGUAGGGUCCGAGCGUUGUCCGGAAUUACUGGGCGUAAAGAGCUCGUAGGUGGUUUGUCGCGUUGUUCGUGAAAAUCACAGCUUAACUGUGGGCGUGCGGGCGAUACGGGCAGACUGGAGUACUGCA
Molecule: ribosomal RNA, 548 nt
Filed under: Mycolicibacterium cosmeticum
Lineage: Bacteria; Bacillati; Actinomycetota; Actinomycetes; Mycobacteriales; Mycobacteriaceae
Description: bacterial SSU rRNA
Rfam family: Bacterial small subunit ribosomal RNA
Source: RNAcentral